Molecule: ribosomal RNA, 447 nt
Filed under: uncultured bacterium
Lineage: Bacteria
Description: bacterial SSU rRNA
Rfam family: Bacterial small subunit ribosomal RNA
Source: RNAcentral
UCGGGAAUUUUGGGCAAUGGGCGAAAGCCUGACCCAGCAACGCCGCGUGAAGGAUGAAGUAUUUCGGUAUGUAAACUUCGAAAGAAUAGGAAGAAUAAAUGACGGUACUAUUUAUAAGGUCCGGCUAACUACGUGCCAGCAGCCGCGGUAAUACGUAGGGACCAAGCGUUGUUCGGAUUUACUGGGCGUAAAGGGCGCGUAGGCGGCGUGGUAAGUCAUCUGUGAAAUCUCCGAGCUUAACUCGGAACGGUCAGAUGAUACUGCUUUGCUAGAGUGCAGAAGGGGCAAUCGGAAUUCUUGGUGUAGCGGUGAAAUGCGUAGAUAUCAAGAGGAACACCUGAGGUGAAGACGGGUUGCUGGGCUGACACUGACGCUGAGGCGCGAAAGCCAGGGGAGCAAACGGGAUUAGAUACCCUUGUAGUCCCUGAGCGGGCUGGCAAGGCGCAU